UACGUAGGGGGCAAGCGUUGUCCGGAAUUAUUGGGCGUAAAGAGCGCGUAGGCGGUCCGAUAAGUCGGCUGUGAAAGUCAGGGGCUCAACCCUUGAAAGCCGGCCGAUACUGUCGGACUAGAGUUCGGAAGAGGCAAGUGGAAUUCCCGGUGUAGCGGUGAAAUGCGCAGAUAUCGGGAGGAACACCAAUUGCGAAGGCAGCUCGCUGGGACGUUACUGACGCUGAGACGCGAAAGCGUGGGGAGCAAACAGG
Molecule: ribosomal RNA, 253 nt
Filed under: uncultured bacterium
Lineage: Bacteria
Description: partial 16S ribosomal RNA
Rfam family: Bacterial small subunit ribosomal RNA
Source: RNAcentral